Molecule: ribosomal RNA, 265 nt
Filed under: uncultured bacterium
Lineage: Bacteria
Description: partial 16S ribosomal RNA
Rfam family: Bacterial small subunit ribosomal RNA
Source: RNAcentral
GUUUCCUACGGGGGGCAGCAGUGGGGAAUAUUGCGCAAUGGGCGAAAGCCUGACGCAGCGACGCCGCGUGAGGGAUGAAGGUCUUCGGAUCGUAAACCUCUGUCAGCAGGGAAGAACGGUCACUGUGCUCAUCAGCAGUGAAUUGACGGUACCUGCAAAGGAAGCACCGCCUAACUCCGUGCCAGCAGCCGCGGUAAUACGGAGUGUGCGAGCGUUAUUCGGAAUUACUGGGCGUAAAGCGCUCGUAGUCGGUAUGUCAAGUCAA